Molecule: small RNA, 31 nt
Filed under: Bombyx mori (domestic silkworm)
Lineage: Eukaryota; Metazoa; Arthropoda; Insecta; Lepidoptera; Bombycidae
Description: piRNA piR-bmo-1279160
Source: RNAcentral
UCCAUGUGAUCGAACGCGGCCGCGAGCCGCU